GAGUUUGAUCUUGGCUCAGAUUGAACGCUGCGGCAUGCCUUACACAUGCAAGUCGAACGGCAGCACGGGAGCUUGCUCCUGGUGGGCCGAAGUGGCGAACGGGUGGAGUAAUGCAUCGGAACGUAUCCUGGAGUGGGGGAUAACGUAGCGAAAGUUACGCUAAUACCGCAUAUUCUGUGAGCAGGAAAGCGGGGGACCUUCGGGGCCUCGCGCUCUUGGAGCGGCCGAUGUCGGAUUAGCUAGUUGGUGAGGUAAAGGCUCACCAAGGCGACGAUCCGUAGCAGGUCUGAGAGGAUGAUCUGCCACACUGGAACUGAGACACGGUCCAGACUCCUACGGGAGGCAGCAGUGGGGAAUUUUGGACAAUGGGGGCAACCCUGAUCCAGCCAUGCCGCGUGAGUGAAGAAGG
RNAcentral lists this ribosomal RNA (409 nucleotides) under bacterium enrichment culture clone ALO1_GLFRUDD03GY5D6. RNAcentral's name for it is "bacterial SSU rRNA". It matches the Rfam family "Bacterial small subunit ribosomal RNA", at positions 9 to 414 of the family's 1533-position model. The record is from RNAcentral.